This 189-nucleotide small nuclear RNA is filed under the name Erinaceus europaeus (western European hedgehog). RNAcentral's name for it is "7SK RNA". It matches the Rfam family "7SK RNA", at positions 1 to 188 of the family's 331-position model. Rfam says of the family: 7SK was discovered as an abundant small nuclear RNA in the mid-70s but a possible function has only recently been suggested. Two independent studies have found that 7SK RNA binds the CDK9/cyclin T complex (known as elongation factor P-TEFb). P-TEFb activates transcription by phosphorylating the C-terminal domain of RNA polymerase II. The record is from Rfam by way of RNAcentral. Lineage: Eukaryota; Metazoa; Chordata; Mammalia; Eulipotyphla; Erinaceidae.
AGAUGUGAAGGCCAUCUGGCUGCGACUUCUGUCACCCCAUUGGUCACUAGGAUUGAUUCAGCUGACCUGGCUGGCUAGGUGGGUGUCCCCUUCCUCCCUCACAGCCCCAUGCAUCCCUCUGGAAGCUGUGUGCUUGGUCAAAGAGGAUGGUCUUCCCCUGAAUAGAAUAUAGUAAAAUGUGAUGUCUUG